CUCCGAUACCCACCCCUGUCCAUUAGCAUAUCAUCACACUCCCUGUCUCCUUAAUCCACUCUUCCCAUGCAGCCGUUUAUCGUUCUUCCUUUUUAGGUUUUUGAAAUGGAGGCAGUGUGGGAGGGUGAGUGUUGAUAAUGGUGCGAAACAGAAAACAUCCUCAAGGUCCAUGGGGAGAUGGGUUGAUUGGGGUGUCAUGGCCUCCAUGAAACACUCUCUGGAGAGUUAUAGACAGGGAGCCCAACUCACUCGCUUGGAGAGGGGACCCAGAACACCAUCAAGCUAAAACAUGAGGGAGAGAAGGGCACUCUGCACCACUGGGGACUGGACAAUGCCUAUCAAUGGAUAAAGCUCCAACUGGAAUCUGCAGGGCACAUUUCACUUCCCACAUACUUACCACAAACCAGCUGCCCCGGGAGCCUCUGACUCUGUCUUCUCCAUAACUACUGCCCAGAGUGUUCUAUGUGUCCCAGGUUUCACCCCUUUUGUGGUUUCUACUUCUUUGCAUUCAUACAAAAAAUACGAUUUUUCUGAUAUUAAUCUUUUUCUCUGCCUGAUUCUUGGUCUCUGACUACUGAAUCUAAAACAGCAGACAGUAAAAAGGGAAAGGGCCUUUUGCAAAUAAAACAAAAGAAAAACCCUCCCUCUCCUGCAUAGUCAUGUGUUAACAUUUUAGAAAAUGCAUGAACAUCUGAACAAGAAAAUGUAAAUUACCUAUAAACGGCCUGUCUGCUCUGGAGA
This 741-nucleotide long non-coding RNA is filed under the name Cricetulus griseus (Chinese hamster). Its description in RNAcentral is "lncRNA (ENSCGRG00015032466.1)". The record is from RNAcentral. Lineage: Eukaryota; Metazoa; Chordata; Mammalia; Rodentia; Cricetidae.